ACUCAAUCAUGUACAGUACAUGAUCAGUUACCGAGGUCUCAUCUUUCAUUCGGGCGCUGAAGAUGGCACAACUAGUUUUGUGCCUCUCAACAUCGUCAGGAACGCCGAAUGAUUCAUUCAACACUUGAAUGAUAUCUUCCGGCUGCGUAUUCUCAAAACGCCUACUAAACUCAUCACUCAUUGCUGCCAACAUGAUGCAUCGAACAGUGAUCCGGUCACUGAGCCGCUUCUGAUAAGUGUCUCUGGCCGAUCUUCAUGCAUUAGCAGCGGGCUGCUCAGGUGCUUGAUCCGUUAUCACAUAAAGGAUCCUCUCAUGCUCUAGCACUAUUUUCAGUUUCCUAUG
Molecule: long non-coding RNA, 343 nt
Filed under: Phoenix dactylifera (date palm)
Lineage: Eukaryota; Viridiplantae; Streptophyta; Magnoliopsida; Arecales; Arecaceae
Description: long non-coding RNA (PDAC_LNC016235)
Source: RNAcentral